RNAcentral lists this long non-coding RNA (2488 nucleotides) under Podarcis lilfordi (Lilford's wall lizard). Lineage: Eukaryota; Metazoa; Chordata; Lepidosauria; Squamata; Lacertidae. The record is from RNAcentral.
GCAGUUUGCUAGGCGACGGCGGGCAGCUGGUCGGGAGCAGCCCUUCCUCGUAACCCGCCUGCAUCGCCACUCCAUGCUUAGGCACAUGCAUGAGCGCCCAGGGGCGCUCCAGAGCACCCUCCAUGGGUGCCUUAAGGACACGCUGGGGGCGUAAAGCACUUUUGUGGGUUUCUGAACAGAAAUGCGGGCUCUGGCCUGCUCUUAUAUCUUCCUGGCCUAGGGGGAGCCUCUGCUGCCUGAAAAUAUUGCUAUGACAGGCGGUAGAUAUGAGGAGGGAACUGUACUCUGCAUGUGCUCAGAGGCAAGCUCACCCCUGGCUCAGACUAUGAUUUGUGGGCGCACUCUGCAUUUGCUCAAGAGGUAAACUCAUGUCACAGAUUCCUGCGUUUGCUCAGGGCCAAGUUCAUCCAGGGCUCAGGCUUGGAGGUUUCUCCAGGGUGAAGCUCAUCCAUUGUCCUCUGGGCUUGCUGGUUGGUGGGCAUCCGUCUGUCUCGGGAGACGAUGGAGGGGUGCUCCUCUGGGAGUGAAGUCAGUGUAGAGGCAGGAUGCUAAGCUGAGAAAGGGGUUGGUGCCCCCCAAUUUGCUCCCACCCAUCACUGAAGAAAUUCAGCCCUCCUUUAUAAUAAGGCUGUUCUUCUUUGGCGAUCACUCGUAGCCGAGUAAGAGUGUCUUCCAUAACAAUGAGUCCGUAAGUGACUGUGGAGGCCAAUUCUGGACCCACACGUCCUUCCACAGUGGGGACUUAAGUUUCCAGAGGGAGUUAAAUCACAAUGAAGGUUUGCCAAACGUGCCUUCCUCCUGGCACGUUUUCCCCUUUCGCCCUGAGUUCGUGCUUCUUCUUCAAAGGCUGUUCUUCAAUGGGAGCGCUCGCAGGCCCGUGUUUCCCAGUUAUCAGUGCUUAUACUACAUUUCUAAAGAUUUGCCUUGAGAGCAUCUUUAGACCUCUUUUGUUGUCCACCGGCAUUUCGCUUCCCACACUUAAGUUGGGAAUAGAGUAGUUGCUUUGGAAAAUGAUAAUCGGGCAUCUGCACAACAUGACCAGUCCAAUGAAGGUGAUGCUGAAGAAUAAUGGGUGGGGAACCUGGGACCCUUGGAUGUCCUUGGACUAUAGCCGCCGCACAAUUUCUGUUCUCAUCCUGAAGCAAAGUUCUUAACCCGAGGUACUAUUUCUAGGUUAGCGGAGUCUGUAACCUGAAGUGUAUGUAACCUGAAGCGUAUGUAACCCGAGGUACCACUGUACUCUAUUCCAAACUUAAAAAUGUAAAGUGUAAUGCUGGUGGUCAACAAAAGUGGUUUAAAGACUGUCUCAAGGUAAAUUUUAAAAAAUGUAGUAUAAACACCGACAACUGGGAAACACUGGCCUGCGAGCACUCCAGCUGGAGAACAGCCUUUACCAAAGGUGUCAUGGACUUUGCAGACACUCAAACUCUGAACGCAAGGGCCUGAGGGAAGACAAUCUUCCUCGAUCGCCAAAGAAAGCAGCCGGGGGUCCCUUCCAAGAUGCUGCUGGACUCCCAAUUCCCCCCAGCAGCCGCAGGCUAUUUAGUCAGGUCUGCCCAGAGACUUAGAAAGUGGAGGUGAUUUUAACGUUCGAAUACUUUCACUUUCGCAGGUUCUAAAGUACUCGUGGCGAAUUGCCCCUUGCUUCCCUCGUUCUAUCUUUGCGGCGUUUUGCAAUCAAGCGGCGCAGAAGGGGCGCGGAAAUAAAUGAAGAUACGCAUUUGCAGUCCGGCCGCAGCUGGAGGGGCGCGCUGCGUUCGGCCGCCCCUGGCUGCGGAGUGUCCCCGAGGGGCUGAGAAGGUCACCGGUUCCCCGUCCCGAGCUGCACUCGGGUCAGAGGGAGGCGCUGCGAGUGGGAAAGGGCGCGCCUUCCCUGCCGAUUCCCAGAAGGAGCGGCUCCGGUUUCCCCUCAGGCGCUGCUUUCCCUCCCCCUUCCGCCGAGAAAUGAGAGCUGCUUCUUGGGCCUGAGCUCCCCCGCUCUCUCCUCGGCCCGGGUCGCCGAGUUCCUGCCGAGACGAGCCUUGGGUUUCUUCCCCCUACAUGCUCUCGCCGGAGCCGGUGGCGCAAGUCAGCUACCGGGACGCCUGAGGCCGCGCCUUCCCACGCCUACCUAGAGAUUUCCAGUUUGGGAUUUUGUUUGCAUUAUUGGGUAUAAUCAUUACCAUCAUUUUUAGCAUCAGGUUUUUGUUUUUUUAAAAAAUACAUUUCAGUAAAAAAUUUAUAACCUGCUCUCUGUCCCUUCCCAAUAUAGGCAGGAAUGGCUUUGCUGACAGAGAAGUCAAAUAAUAACCUAAAAAGUUAAUUAGGCAUGUCCAGGCCUCCUCUUAGUUCAGUGUUUGUUGGCUUAGGACCUUAAGAGUUACCAAGAACUUGUCAUUACUGAGGAGAUGGCUAAUAACGGUGGACAAACAGUGCUUACUAUCCAGAAAAGGAGAUCCUGGGCUCCAGUCUGUCUGGAAACAACGCCAUUAUGUUUUUUGGAAGUGGC